RNAcentral lists this ribosomal RNA (324 nucleotides) under uncultured eukaryote. RNAcentral describes it as "partial 18S ribosomal RNA". It matches the Rfam family "Eukaryotic small subunit ribosomal RNA", at positions 1470 to 1796 of the family's 1831-position model. The record is from RNAcentral.
CCCUUAGAUGUUCUGGGCUGCACGCGCGCUACACUGAUGCGAUCAACAAGUUUUUCCUAUGUCGAUAGACACGGGUAAUCUUUUGAACUCGCAUCGUGAUGGGGAUAGAUUAUUGUAAUUAUUAAUCUUCAACGAGGAAUUCCUAGUAGGUGCAAAUCAUCAGUUUGCAUCGAUUACGUCCCUGCCCUUUGUACACACCGCCCGUCGCUGCUACCGAUUGGUUGAUCUGGUGAAUUAUUCGGACUGCCGGCUGAAGGGGUUUCCUCAUCUGCCAGCGGAAAGUCUUGUUAACCCUAUCAACUAGAGGAAGCGGAAGUCGUAACA